ACUUUUGAAACAGGCAGAAGAGUUAGUUAUAGUAAGUAUCCCUGGUUCAAGAUGAUUAAGCACUAACCACCAUCAUGUCUAGGUGAAAGCAUGUAAUUUGAUCUAAACAAGAUGAUGGUUAGUGCUUAAUGGCCUUGCACCAGUGAUACUACACAUGUCCUUGAAAAAGAUUCUCUAACACUCUGAAAGGAAGACCAAAAGAUCAAAAAUGUACCAUCAAAAUCAAGGUACCUCUGGUGUUGCUAGGAAACUAGAAAACAGUUGCUACAAACUAAGUUUUCUCCAUGACAAUGGCCUAAACAUUAAAUGACUUCGAUACAGCAACAUGAAACAGUUCCAGGCCUCAAUAAUCAAUUCAAAAAGACUGUCAAACACUGAGCCAGCACUGAUGCAGCAGCCACAAUCCUCUCAAGGAAUACUGAAACAUGCAGCAGAAGUGGUCAAUAAAAAUUCAAUUAAUAGUGCAAAUAUUACUCAAAAUACUGUGUUCCAGGAUCUUGAUCAAAAUAAGUAUGGAAUUAAGACCCCGAAUUAAAUCUAGACAUCAUAAUGCUUGGUGCUCAAUAAUUAGGUAAGUGAUGGUAGCUGCAACGUAGGUUAAAGAGUUAGAGCUAAGUGAUUCUUGCAGCUAUUUUAAAUAACUAUUUAAAUAUUUAAGAUUACUGUUAGAAACACUUUGGUCUAGUUCUUUAAUUUAUGAUGUAGUUACUAUGACGUGAUUAUUGAGCACUAACCAUCAUCGUGUCUAGAGUGAAUAAGAGGUUUAAAAAUUCCAUUAUGUCAAUAUUCUUGAGUAACAGCUCUAGAACUCUAUUUGGUUUAAAACAAGAUCCUCCUCGAGUACUUAUACAGAAUAAAGGACCUGUUUCAAAUCCAAAAUCGACAUCCAACAUCCGGCAGUCCUGCAGUAGCUGUUGCAAGAUGAUCUGGCACUAAACAUCAUCACGUCUAGGUUCAAUUAGGAGUUUAAUGACUCUGUUGUUUUUAAUUUCGUAUCCAUUUUGGAUGUAAUUGAUUAUGACUUUCAGAAGAUUUUCUGGAGGUUAUAAUUUAAUUAAAUCCAAUGUGGGUGCAAGAUUAAAAUCACCAGAAUCAUAAAACAUUAAAUUGGGUCUAAGUGAGAUGAUGUUGGGUGCCAGAUGGCCUUGCUGCAGCCAGAACACUGCAUGAGCAGCUUCUUCCAAUUCGUAGAAGUAAGAUACGUUGGUCUGGCAAGCAGUAGAGAUAAAAGGAGCGAAAAAAGCAGAUGUGGGAACUGAAAUUUUAAUGUUACAUUUACUAUCUCUGUUGCAAGAUGAUCUGGCACUAAACAUCAUCAGGUUUGGACUCUAUUCGAGGUUUAAUAAUUUCAGUUUUCUUAAUCCCGUAUCCACACUGGAAGUAAUUGAUUACGACUUUUAGAAGAAUAUUCUGGAGGUUAUAAUUUAGUUAAAUCCAAUGUGGGUACAAGAUUAGGAAGACUGAUAUUAUAAAACAUCAAAUUGAGCCUAAAUCAGAUGAUGUUUGGUGCCAGAUGGUCUUGGAGCAAAUAUGUAACAACAUAUUUAUUGGUGUGCCAAGUUGUGAGAGGAGAAACUCAAAAAUGGAGACAUGAAUUAUUGUUAAAACAGUGCUGCCCAUAUUUUUAUAAUAACCGAUAAAGUUGAAGUCAAUUCUUGCAGCACCUUAGGAGGAAUCAUUUCGUAUUCUUGAUAAGUAAACUUUUCAAUGAGGACCAUAAAGGCUGAAAAUACCGUUUCGAGGCCAACGUUCGUUCCAGCCUCCUCAGACAGUUUACUAGAAAUUAUGUGUAAAAGGCUUGUGAACGUCUGUACGUGACUGGUUAUAUAACAGAAGAGGCUGUUAGGAAAAUCAAGAUACCUGAUGGCUUACUCAACACAGUUGAAUUGCCUCUUUCAAUAAUGUUAUAAAUGUUAAAUGUAACUUAC
Long non-coding RNA from Aethina tumida (small hive beetle), 1928 nucleotides. RefSeq lists it as uncharacterized. The transcript is spliced from 3 exons. The record is from RefSeq and is a predicted model, not a curated record. Lineage: Eukaryota; Metazoa; Arthropoda; Insecta; Coleoptera; Nitidulidae.